UUAUAUUCCAUGUUUGUGUGAGUAUCAUGUAUAACUAUAAUGCACUAAUACAAAUUAAAACACACACACACACACACACACACACACACACACACACACUGCUCUGAAGGCUCCAAAUUAAGCUGAAGAGACAGCAUGGUCAUUCUCAGUGUCCAGGGGCUUGGUUGACAAUGUCCUACCACCUACAGGCCUGUACCCAAUGCAGCCAGUGGCCCUGUCAACAUACACAUUACAAGGAAUUCUAAGGUGCACAGGGAAGAAAGAUGAGACCACUACUCCAAAGUUUUGAAAUUCAAUCUCCUGCACUGUUUAAGGGUGGAAGAAAGUGAAAGACAGAGAUAGACAGAGGUCAGCCUCUUAAUCAAAAGCCAGAACUUCUCAUCCCCAGAAACUCAGAAACAGGGAGAAGUGGAAGAAAUAUGAAGUCAGAUGCUGAGCCAGUGAGUGCCAGAACAAUUAAAUUUAAAUUUCUACCUACCAGGAAAUGUGAAACCCUUCCUUAAAAAAAUAAUAAUGUCAUCUUCAGUUUCUCUGUUGCUUCCACGUACAGGGAAAUAGCAAAAAUUUAAGUUUCUAUCUACAAAAUGUGAAACGCUUCUCUCAUAAUGUCACCUUCAGUUUCACUGUUGCUUGCACUCACGGGGAAACAGCAAAAAAUAUAAUCAGAAAAAAAAAAACACAAAAUACAACAGGUCCAAUGAAUGUCUGCUUGAUAGAGCUAGAAAAGGCUUGCACAAAUUGUAUAGUUAAGAUAUUGAAGAAAAUAAAGAGUUGGAACAAUUGUUUAAGGUGAAGUGAUUAAAUGAAAAUUUAAAUGCACAAAAAGGACAACAUAAAAUUUUAUGAAAAAAUGCUAUGAUCUCUAAAAAUAAGAAUUUCUUUAAUGUAAGAGGAUAUCAGACAAAGUAAAACAGUAUUAAUAAACUUAAGCACAUAUCAGUAUAAAUUGUCUCAACUGAAUCACAGAGAGAAAAAAAUUAACAAAACUAGGUCAGAGACAAGUGAAACUCAAUCAAAUGGUGUGAAAAACAUUUCAUUGAAUUCCCAAAGGAAGAUGAGAAGAUGAAUAGAAAGCAGAUUUUAAAUAAAAC
This 1091-nucleotide long non-coding RNA is filed under the name Marmota monax (woodchuck). Lineage: Eukaryota; Metazoa; Chordata; Mammalia; Rodentia; Sciuridae. The record is from RNAcentral.